This 68-nucleotide small nucleolar RNA is filed under the name Apaloderma vittatum (bar-tailed trogon). Its description in RNAcentral is "Small nucleolar RNA SNORD42". It matches the Rfam family "Small nucleolar RNA SNORD42". From Rfam's summary of the family: snoRNA U42 is found in intron 3 of the ribosomal protein L23a (RPL23a) gene in humans and is also present in mice. U42 is a member of the C/D class of snoRNA which contain C (UGAUGA) and D (CUGA) box motifs. Lineage: Eukaryota; Metazoa; Chordata; Aves; Trogoniformes; Trogonidae. The record is from Rfam by way of RNAcentral.
GUGCAAAUGAUGUGAAUUUUUUUUACCGCUGAGUAAAAGUGAUGUUUCCAAAGGAACCACUGAUGCAC